CCCUAGUUACUUAGACGGUAAAGGGUCUGCCUACAAUGCAGGAGACCCAGGUUCAUUCCCUGGGCGGGGAA
RNAcentral lists this transfer RNA (71 nucleotides) under Capra hircus (goat). It matches the Rfam family "tRNA". Rfam says of the family: Transfer RNA (tRNA) molecules are approximately 80 nucleotides in length. Lineage: Eukaryota; Metazoa; Chordata; Mammalia; Artiodactyla; Bovidae. RNAcentral also lists the same sequence under 1 other name. The record is from Rfam by way of RNAcentral.